Molecule: ribosomal RNA, 837 nt
Filed under: uncultured bacterium
Lineage: Bacteria
Description: bacterial SSU rRNA
Rfam family: Bacterial small subunit ribosomal RNA
Source: RNAcentral
AAUCAACGCUGGCGGCGUGCCUAACACAUGCAAGUCGAACGAGAAAGGGUAGCAAUACCUGAGUAAAGUGGCGCACGGGUGAGUAACACGUGACUAACCUACCCUGGAGUGGGGGAUAACUGAGGGAAACCUUAGCUAAUACCGCAUAAUACCUACGGGUCAAAGGAGCAAUUCGCUUCAGGAGGGGGUCGCGGCCGAUUAGUUAGUUGGCGGGGUAAUGGCCCACCAAGACAGUGAUCGGUAUCCGGCCUGAGAGGGCGCACGGACACACUGGAACUGAAACACGGUCCAGACUCCUACGGGAGGCAGCAGUGGGGAAUUUUGCGCAAUGGGGGAAACCCUGACGCAGCAACGCCGCGUGGAGGAUGAAGUACUUCGGUACGUAAACUCCUUUCGAUCGGGACGAUAAUGACGGUACCGGAAGAAGAAGCCCCGGCUAACUUCGUGCCAGCAGCCGCGGUAAUACGAGGGGGGCAAGCGUUGUUCGGAAUUAUUGGGCGUAAAGGGUGCGUAGGCGGUUUGGUAAGUCUUUUGUGAAAUCUAUGGGCUCAACUCAUAGACUGCAAGGGAAACUGCCGGGCUUGAGUAUGGGAGAGGUGAGUGGAAUUCCUGGUGUAGCGGUGAAAUGCGUAGAUAUCAGGAGGAACACCUGUGGCGAAAGCGGCUCACUGGACCAUAACUGACGCUGAUGCACGAAAGCUAGGGGAGCAAACAGGAUUAGAUACCCUGGUAGUCCUAGCCCUAAACGAUGACUGCUUGGUGUGACGGGUACCCAAUCCCGCCGUGCCGUAGCUAACGCGUGAAGUCGACCGCCUGGGGAGUACGGCCGCAAGGUUG